GGCCGACUAGCUCAGUUGGUUAGAGCGUCGUGCUAAUACAGGAGUAAUCCCUGGUGACGCGAAGGUCUUGGGUUCGACCCCCACGUUGGCCA
Paxillus involutus ATCC 200175 is the source of this 92-nucleotide transfer RNA. It matches the Rfam family "tRNA". From Rfam's summary of the family: Transfer RNA (tRNA) molecules are approximately 80 nucleotides in length. NCBI's taxonomy places the organism in Eukaryota, Fungi, Basidiomycota, Agaricomycetes, Boletales, Paxillaceae. The record is from Rfam.